UACGUAGGGGGCAAGCGUUGUCCGGAAUUAUUGGGCGUAAAGAGCGUGUAGGCGGUCCGGUAAGUCAGCUGUGAAAGUCAAGGGCUCAACCCUUGAAUGCCGGUUGAUACUGUCGGGCUAGAGUCCGGAAGAGGCGAGUGGAAUUCCCGGUGUAGCGGUGAAAUGCGCAGAUAUCGGGAGGAACACCAAUGGCGAAGGCAGCUCUCUGGGACGGUACUGACGCUGAGACGCGAAAGCGUGGGGAGCGAACAGG
Molecule: ribosomal RNA, 253 nt
Filed under: uncultured bacterium
Lineage: Bacteria
Description: partial 16S ribosomal RNA
Rfam family: Bacterial small subunit ribosomal RNA
Source: RNAcentral